RNAcentral lists this ribosomal RNA (393 nucleotides) under uncultured bacterium. Its description in RNAcentral is "bacterial SSU rRNA". It matches the Rfam family "Bacterial small subunit ribosomal RNA", at positions 527 to 924 of the family's 1533-position model. The record is from RNAcentral.
GUAGGUGGCGAGCGUUAUCCGGAAUGAUUGGGCGUAAAGGGUGCGUAGGUGGCAGAACAAGUCUGGAGUAAAAGGUAUGGGCUCAACCCGUACUGGCUCUGGAAACUGUUCAGCUAGAGAACAGAAGAGGACGGCGGAACUCCAUGUGUAGCGGUAAAAUGCGUAGAUAUAUGGAAGAACACCGGUGGCGAAGGCGGCCGUCUGGUCUGUUGCUGACACUGAAGCACGAAAGCGUGGGGAGCAAAUAGGAUUAGAUACCCUAGUAGUCCACGCCGUAAACGAUGAGAACUAGGUGUUGGGGGAAUAACUCAGUGCCGCAGUUAACGCAAUAAGUUCUCCGCCUGGGGAGUAUGCACGCAAGUGUGAAACUCAAAGGAAUUGACGGCAGCAGCC